UACGUAGGGGGCAAGCGUUGUCCGGAUUCAUUGGGCGUAAAGAGCGUGUAGGCGGCCAGGUAGGUCGGUUGUGAAAACUGGAGGCUCAACCUUCAGAGGUCGACCGAAACCAUCUGGCUAGAGUCCGGGAGAGGAGAGUGGAAUUCCUGGUGUAGCGGUGAAAUGCGCAGAUAUCAGGAAGAACACCCGUGGCGAAGGCGGCUCACUGGCCCGUUACUGACGCUCAGGCGCGACAGCGUGGGGAGCAAACAGG
This 253-nucleotide ribosomal RNA is filed under the name uncultured bacterium. RNAcentral describes it as "partial 16S ribosomal RNA". It matches the Rfam family "Bacterial small subunit ribosomal RNA", at positions 524 to 776 of the family's 1533-position model. The record is from RNAcentral.